RNAcentral lists this long non-coding RNA (1729 nucleotides) under Homo sapiens (human). RNAcentral describes it as "HSALNT0192566". Lineage: Eukaryota; Metazoa; Chordata; Mammalia; Primates; Hominidae. The record is from RNAcentral.
CAGAACCAUGAUAUUGGCUGUAUUUCUCUGGAGAAUUCUAAUUUAUCAGAGGAAAGAAGCUUUCCAACUUCUUCCAUGCUUGGCCAUCAGUGUGUCUGUACCACUUGUAUAAUCACCAUGAGAAGUGCUGAUACAGCCCUGGCACCCAAAAGUCUAUCUCAGAUUGCCAACCUUCUCAGGUGGUAAUAGAACUGGGACAAGUUAUCUGCCUUUCUCCUCAUGACUUGGCCAUCAACAGAGGGCAGACACAUGGACCACUGAAAGUGACAAUAGGCCACUGCUUUAUUUCUGGUGUGGUUGUCAAGGCCUCUGACAAAACUUUCAGGUUUUGGUGAUGUAAAAUGAAUGAAUCACAGUCCUGGUCCUCAAAGAUAGCCAUACUGAAGGAGAUGGACAUGAACAUAAAGAACCUCCAUGCUGAAUGAGAAGCCCAUCACAGCCCAUGAUGACCUGUAUAAUGUGCUUCUGGGAGAAAAGAAGUCUCAAAACCUAAGGGAGAUACCCAGAGUAAUUUCUCUAAGGAGUUGUUUGAGAUUGAUUGAAGACCUCAAUUGUGAGAAAAAACAAACUCAGAGAGGGCAGAGAAAGGCAACUGAGACCUUGCCAUACAAUGCCUUGGUGGGAUGGACUUUCUGGUAAACCUUGUGUUAACUCCUCAAGGAAAUGCCUGGGCAUAUACCAGAAUAGUGUCUGACAGUGUGAUGCAACCUAAUGCUGCCUCUACUUGCUGGAAUUUUACUUUGUGCCUCUGGGUGGUAAUUAGGGAUUGUUUGAUCUGAGUCAAUAAAAUACUAUUCAAUUUCCCCUGCAGACAUCAGAGAUGCAUUUAUUACAGUAAAAAUAUUUUCCCAUGCCACUAUUUGAAUUUAAAGCAUACAUGUCUGCUCAUUUAAUUUCUAGCUACUUACACCAGCUUUUUAACAUAUAGACUAAGUGCAAAUUAAAAACACAAGGACAUUACUCAUGUUUCUGGAGGUAAAGAUGGAUGGAUGUUCAGUAAAUUACACCUUCUAUAGAAGCUGCUAUUGAUGAAGCUUAUGAAGUUUAAUUUCUUGAUUUAUCUGCACUGGCUAACUCCCAUGACCGUCUAUAUUCUGAAGCUUAGAUUAAACAGAUCAUGCAAGAAACACCUACAUUCAGAAUUUGAGAAGUCCCUUUGAAAAUUCAAUGGAAUCCUUUGUAAUAAAUUUCUAAAUCACAUAUGUGUCAGAUAUAUUGUGGUCCAAAUCCUGCCAUUCCAUUCAUUAUAAACGUUCACCUUAAAGCAGAAUUUCUCUGUAAAGCUGGUAGCAAUCCUUUUUCACACUUCCUGUAUUAUUACAGAGAGGUGCCGUUUUGUGUAACAACUUAUGAGGCUGCUAGUGGUAACUUCAGUUGUAGCAGCAGUAGACUUGGGGGACAGACAAAAGAUCUUGCAUUUGUCUGUUGAUUAAGUGAUAAGCACCAUCAAUACGUUCACAAAGAAUAGGGGAGGAAAUAACACCCUGACUCAAUGCUGUUGCCACCUUGGGUAUGUGAAUCCAUUGGUAUUCUUGUUAAUUUGAUGAAAUAUAAGCUCUAAAUUUAGAAACUGAAUAUUUUCUGUUUACUUCAUUACACUGUAUUAUAUGACAUUAAAGAGCAGAUUAAGCAAGAAGUAUGAUGUUUAAUAUAAAAAGUACUAAUAUUAUAUUUCCAGUUAAAAAAAGGUCUUCCAAACAAGUGAAGGAAUUUAUAUGUUGUAUCAAAU